UCUAGCAUGUGCGCGAGUCAUUGGGACUUUUUUUUUUGAAAGCCCAGAGGCGCAAUGAAAGUGAAGAUCGGCCUUUUCGGCUUGAUCGAGGGAGGAUGGCUCAUUGUUAUUUUUUAUAAUAACGAGCUCGCACUCCCGGGGCGUCUCGCGCUCAUUUCGAGCGGAGGCGCACCCAGAGCGUACACGCUGGGACCCGAAAGAUGGUGAACUA
RNAcentral lists this ribosomal RNA (211 nucleotides) under Lirata striatissima. RNAcentral's name for it is "partial 28S ribosomal RNA". It matches the Rfam family "Eukaryotic large subunit ribosomal RNA", at positions 674 to 833 of the family's 3401-position model. Lineage: Eukaryota; Metazoa; Arthropoda; Insecta; Hymenoptera; Eucharitidae. The record is from RNAcentral.